This 517-nucleotide ribosomal RNA is filed under the name uncultured bacterium. RNAcentral's name for it is "bacterial SSU rRNA". It matches the Rfam family "Bacterial small subunit ribosomal RNA", at positions 8 to 518 of the family's 1533-position model. The record is from RNAcentral.
AGAGUUUGAUUCUGGCUCAGGAUGAACGCUAGCGGCAGGCUUAACACAUGCAAGUCGAGGGGCAGCGGGAUGUAGCAAUACAUUGCCGGCGACCGGCGGAUGGGUGCGUAACGCGUAUGCAACCUACCUUAUACAGGGGAAUAACCUUUCGAAAGGGAGACUAACGCCCCAUGGUAUUGAUUUAAGGCAUCUUAGAUUAAUUAAAUAUUUAUAGGUAUAAGAUGAGCAUGCGUAUGAUUAGCUAGUUGGUAAGGUAACGGCUUACCAAGGCGACGAUCAUUAGGGGUUCUGAGAGGAAGGUCCCCCACACUGGUACUGAGACACGGACCAGACUCCUACGGGAGGCAGCAGUGAGGAAUAUUGGUCAAUGGGCGCAAGCCUGAACCAGCCAUGCCGCGUGCAGGAAGACGGCCUUAUGGGUUGUAAACUGCUUUUACAUAAGACUAACCGUAUAUUUGCGAAUAUACCUGAAUGUAUUAUGAGAAUAAGGAUCGGCUAACUCCGUGCCAGCCGCCGC